UACGUAGGGGGCAAGCGUUGUCCGGAAUCAUUGGGCGUAAAGCGCGCGUAGGUGGCCCAGUAAGUCCGUUGUGAAAGUCAAAGGCUCAACCUUUGAAAGCCGAUGGAUACUGCUGGGCUCGAGUCCGGAAGAGGCGAGUGGGAUUCCUGGUGUAGCGGUGGAAUGCGCAGAUAUCAGGAGGAACACCAAUAGCGAAGGCAGCUCGCUGGGACGGUACUGACACUAAGGCGCGAAAGCGUGGGGGGCGAACAGG
RNAcentral lists this ribosomal RNA (253 nucleotides) under uncultured bacterium. Its description in RNAcentral is "partial 16S ribosomal RNA". It matches the Rfam family "Bacterial small subunit ribosomal RNA", at positions 524 to 776 of the family's 1533-position model. The record is from RNAcentral.